This is a non-coding RNA of Camellia sinensis, 1589 nucleotides long. The record is from RefSeq and is a predicted model, not a curated record. Lineage: Eukaryota; Viridiplantae; Streptophyta; Magnoliopsida; Ericales; Theaceae.
GAGUAUUUGUAGAGAGAGAGAGAGAGAGAGAGAGAGACAAAGCAAUGGAAGCUGCGAGGAGAAAGAAAGCAAUUGAGCACGAAAUCGGAGGUCUACAAAAUGACACUCUUCGUUUUGGACUUCACAGCGUCAAGAGCGAGAUCGUUGGAUCUCAUCCCCUUCAAUCUGCCUAUCAAUCUACAAAGGAGGUGCAGGAACAGAUGAAGAGGAGAAUCCUUGUGAACACGUACGGAUCGGCUUUUCCUUUGAAGAUGGACUUGGAUCGACAAAUGCUUUCUAGAUUGCCAACUGUUGAAGAGUCUGGUUAUCCAUGAUGCUACCCUUGGUAAUGGUAUUCAAGAGAUACCUAUAUACCAUGAUAGACUGAGACAACUUCAAAUUGUGAAAUGCCGAGUGCUUCGUAUUUCUGUCAGGUGCCCCCAACUCGAAACCUUGUCUUUAAAGGGCAAUAGUAUGGCUCAUGCUGUGCUCAACUGCCCUCUUUUGCGUGAUCUUGAUAUAGCGUCUUGCCACAAGUUUUCAGAUGCUGCAAUUCGUUCGGCAGCAACAUCAUGCCCACUUUUGGAGUCUUUAGAUAUGUCCAAUUGUUCAUGUGUGAGUGACGAAACACUACGCGAAAUUGCCUGCCCUUGUGGUAAUCUCCAUGUUCUUAAUGCUUCAUACUGCCCAAACAUCUCUCUUGGGGUCAGUGUUUUAGCUUUUCACCAUGCUUGUUCUGGUGAUGUUUGAAGAUGCUUCCAUUAGUUGACUUGAUUUUUUGCUUUUCUUGGAAAUCUGUAAGACUGCCCAUGUUGACAGUUCUCAAGCUUCACAGUUGCGAGGGCAUUACUUCUGCUUCCAUGGCAGCAAUAUCUCAUAGUUAUAUGUUGGAGGUUUGAAGCCUCUUAUCUUAGAAGUUGGCAUUGCCUAGACUUGAUUCAAUGUACGAAUAGUCUGAAACUAAUGAAAUCAAUUUUAUUGCGAUGUAAGUCUUGGAGCUUGACAAUUGUAGUUUAUUGGUGUCGGUGUCCUUGGAUCUCCUACGCCUGCAGAAUAUAAGAUUUGUCCAUUGUCGCAAGUAAAUUAUGCUACUCCGACCUCAAAGUCUUGUAGGGGAACUAUUUUGGUGGUACUUGUUAGUUAGUGUGACUAAUGUUAUAAUAUUGCCUGCAGAUUCGUUGUUUUAAAUUUAUGAAGUAUCAUGUUGUCAUCUGUUACAGUGUCAAAUUGCCCUUCACUCCAACGAAUUAACAUCACAUCUUAUUUGGUGAAAAAUGCACACGUAAUUCUAACACCAUCUUCUCUCAGGAUAUCACUUAUUUGGUGAGCUUUGCAGGUAACCCAAUUUGUAAGUGGACUGUUUGAGUCAAGAAAUGAUCUUUUCACAUUUAAGAAUCACAUACGAGACUUCCUUGUGUAGUCAAAAGAGUUCUUAGCACAGAUGUUUUUUGAGUAGGAGUUUGCUUCUUGUGGAGUGCAGGCGUGUGAAUAAUGUGAUUAACGUUUGUUUUUGUUACUCACGGAAGAAUCAUGAGAAAAACUUUUGUUGUUGAUUUACGUUAUUUUGAAUUGUGAACAAUAUUAUAUAUUUAAACAUUAUAUUUGUAUUA